UGCCAGCCGCCGCGGUAACACGGGGGGCGCAAGCGUUAUUCGGAAUUAUUGGGCGUAAAGGGCGCGUAGGCGGUCUUAUCGGUCAGAUGUGAAAGCCCGGGGCUCAACCCCGGACGUGCAUUGGAAACUGGCGAACUUGAGUACGGGAGAGGAAAGUGGAAUUCCGAGUGUAGGGGUGAAAUCCGUAGAUAUUCGGAGGAACACCAGUGGCGAAGGCGGCUCACUGGCUCGAUACUGACGCUGAGGUGCGAAAGUGUGGGGAGCAAACAGGAUUAGAUA
Molecule: ribosomal RNA, 279 nt
Filed under: uncultured bacterium
Lineage: Bacteria
Description: partial 16S ribosomal RNA
Rfam family: Bacterial small subunit ribosomal RNA
Source: RNAcentral